UGGACAUGGGGGCNACCGNAUCCUUCAAUGCCGCGUGAGUGAAGAACGCCUUCGGUUUGUAAAGCUCUUUUGUCAGGGAAGAAACAGCAGCUCUAACACAGUCUGCGAAUGACGGUACCUGAAGAAUAAGCACCGGCUAACUACGUGCCAGCAGCCGCGGUAAUACGUAGGGUGCAAGCGUUAAUCGGAAUUACUGGGCGUAAAGCGUGCGCAGGCGGUUAUACAAGACAGGCGUGAAAUCCCCGGGCUUAACCUGGGAAUGGCGUCUGUGACUGUAUAGCUAGAGUGUGUCAGAGGGGGGUGGAAUUCCACGUGUAGCAGUGAAAUGCGUAGAUAUGUGGAGGAACACCAAUGGCGAAGGCAGCCCCCUGGGAUAACACUGACGCUCAUGCACGAAAGCGUGGGGAGCAAACAGGAUUAGAUACCCUGGUAGUCCACGCCCUAAACGAUGCUGACUAGUUGUUGGGAAUCUACAUUCUCAGUAACGUAGCUAACGCGUGAAGUCAGCCGCCUGGGGAGUACGGUCGCAAGAUUAAAACUCAAAGGAAUUGACGGGGACCCGCACAAGCGGUGGAUGAUGUGGAUUAAUUCGAUGCAACGCGAAAAACCUUAGCUACCCUUGACACGUCAAUAACGAAGUAGAGAUACCUUAAGGUGGUCGUAAGAAAACUUGACCCAGGUGUUGUUGUUGCGGACACUGGGUUGGGAGAUGUGGGUAAGUCCGGAAGGAGCGGAC
This 736-nucleotide ribosomal RNA is filed under the name uncultured bacterium. RNAcentral's name for it is "bacterial SSU rRNA". It matches the Rfam family "Bacterial small subunit ribosomal RNA", at positions 365 to 1102 of the family's 1533-position model. The record is from RNAcentral.